Molecule: ribosomal RNA, 344 nt
Filed under: uncultured bacterium
Lineage: Bacteria
Description: bacterial SSU rRNA
Rfam family: Bacterial small subunit ribosomal RNA
Source: RNAcentral
AUUGAACGCUGGCGGCAGGCCUAACACAUGCAAGUCGAGCGGUAGAGAGGUGCUUGCAUCUCUUGAGAGCGGCGGACGGGUGAGUAAUGCCUAGGAAUCUGCCUAGUGGUGGGGGGAUAACGUUCGGAAACGGACGCUAAUACCGCAUACGUCCUACGGGAGAAAGCGGGGGAUCUUCGGACCUCGCGCCAUUAGAUGAGCCUAGGUCGGAUUAGCUAGUUGGUGAGGGUAAUGGCUCACCAAGGCGACGAUCCGUAACUGGUCUGAGAGGAUGAUCAGUCACACUGGAACUGAGACACGGUCCAGACUCCUACGGGAGGCAGCAGUGGGGAAUAUUGGACAAU